GGAAUUCAGAGAUGGAUUGGUGCUCGAAAGAGAACCGUAACACAGGUGCUGCAUGGCUGUCGCCAGCUCGUGUCGUGAGAUGUUGGGUUAAGUCCCGCAACGAGCGCAACCCUUGCCAAUAAUUGCCAUCAUUUAGUUGGGCACUUUAUUGGGACUGCCGAUGACAAAUCGGAGGAAGGUGGGGAUGACGUCAAGUCCUCAUGGCCCUUAUGGCCAGGGCUUCACACGUAAUACAAUGGUCGGUACAGAGGGUUGCCAAGCCGCGAGGUGGAGCCAAUCCCAGAAAGCCGAUCGUAGUCCGGAUUGCAGGCUGCAACUCGCCUGCAUGAAGUCGGAAUCGCUAGUAAUCGCGGAUCAGCAUGUCGCGGUGAAUACGUUCCCGGGCCUUGUACACACCGCCCGUCACACCAUGGGAGUGGGUUUUACCAGAAGUAGGUAGUCUAACCGCAAGGAGGACGCUUACCACGGUAGUAUUCAUGACUGGGGUGAAGUCGUCGUAACAAGGUAACCGUAAA
RNAcentral lists this ribosomal RNA (515 nucleotides) under uncultured bacterium. RNAcentral's name for it is "bacterial SSU rRNA". It matches the Rfam family "Bacterial small subunit ribosomal RNA", at positions 995 to 1506 of the family's 1533-position model. The record is from RNAcentral.